GUGAAGCACACCUCUCUUAGCUGCUCCCAACUGCUCUAGUUGCCCAUACAUGCCAACUGCUCCAGCUGCCCAUACUUGCCAACUGCUCCAGCAGCCCAAUACAUGCUUUGGUUGACUUUUGUUCAUCUUUCUGAGGUCGCAUGCUGAUUUGUCUCCCAUAUGUGGCUGCUCUAAUGUGAUAGCACAUUGCUCUAGGGAUGUAGCCACAUUAACUGUGGUG
Molecule: long non-coding RNA, 220 nt
Filed under: Prunus persica (peach)
Lineage: Eukaryota; Viridiplantae; Streptophyta; Magnoliopsida; Rosales; Rosaceae
Description: long non-coding RNA (PPER_LNC008074)
Source: RNAcentral